ACUCGUUAUGGCUAUACCAUUCUUCGAGUUUGCAACUCGAUGUUUUCUAUAAACUACAACGAG
RNAcentral lists this transfer RNA (63 nucleotides) under Turritella bacillum. RNAcentral describes it as "tRNA-Cys". The record is from RNAcentral. Lineage: Eukaryota; Metazoa; Mollusca; Gastropoda; Turritellidae.